ACAGCAGCCGCCGCGGUAAUACGUAGGUGGCAAGCGUUGUCCGGAAUUAUUGGGCGUAAAGGGCUCGCAGGCGGUUUCUUAAGUCUGAUGUGAAAGCCCCCGGCUCAACCAGGGAGGGUCAUUGGAAACUGGGAAACUUGAGUGCAGAAGAGGAGAGUGGAAUUCCACGUGUAGCGGUGAAAUGCGUAGAGAUGUGGAGGAACACCAGUGGCGAAGGCGACUCUCUGGUCUGUAACUGACGCUGAGGAGCGAAAGCGUGGGGAGCGAACAGGAUUAGAUACCCGGGUAGUCCCUGUCUCUUAUAC
RNAcentral lists this ribosomal RNA (305 nucleotides) under uncultured bacterium. Its description in RNAcentral is "partial 16S ribosomal RNA". It matches the Rfam family "Bacterial small subunit ribosomal RNA", at positions 508 to 807 of the family's 1533-position model. The record is from RNAcentral.